CCCACUGAGCCACCCGACACCCCUGUCAUUAUCUUUCUACACACUUCCUCUAUAGGGAAAAGCUUUGCCACUGGGUCCAUUCUGGGUGUUGCCUCUUUCACAACCUUCUUGUUUGUAUGACUCCCUCCAGCUUCAUCAUUCCAUCAUUUGCAUAAUUUAAGUCCAAUGUUCAUUGUGUGCUCACUAAAUGCACAUUCUGUCCACAGCUGUGGGACAGAAUACUUUCCCUUAGGAGGCUUUUUCAUUCCCCAGAUUUGUCUAAUUUUACCUUUGGAGGGAGCAGCACCAUACUGUAGGCUAUGAGCAGAAAAAAGUUAGAGACAGUGUGACCUGUAGAUGGAUCAUUUUCCUCCCUCAGAUGUGCCUACUAAGAGAGGGACUCUGACCACGCGCCGCCCCCCUCAUAAGGCUCCCAUCACAUGGGUUAGGAAAAGCCGACAUGUUCCGAUGACCACAGCCAUCUGGACCAGGGAUCAACCGCACCUGUGCCACACAGGCCAGCACAGCUCAGAUGCACACCAUGGGUCAACUGCGUCUGAGGAGGCAGAGACAAUAACACCAUGGACUCUCGAUCCAGAUCGCCGGUCAAAUCCUGCCUCUGCCCCUUAUCAGCUCUGACUUGUCACAAGUCAGUGAAGCUCUGCACAUCUCAGUUCUCUCCUCUUGAAAAUGGGAGAUGCUGAUAGCGUCGACAUCACGGUGUUGUUGUGAGAAAUAAAUGAGCUGUCAUGUGCAACGGCCACAGAACCCCCCCCCCCAGCAUACGGUGAGCAUCAAAAACUGUCUGCUUUAUUACUAUUUUUGAUCCAGAGAGUCAUGAAGAAAACCGUGUUUUCAGAUGGUUACUUUGGCCAAAAUUAUCCUGGAGCCAGGGAGAGAUGAGAG
RNAcentral lists this long non-coding RNA (885 nucleotides) under Mustela putorius furo (domestic ferret). RNAcentral's name for it is "lncRNA (ENSMPUG00000030169.1)". Lineage: Eukaryota; Metazoa; Chordata; Mammalia; Carnivora; Mustelidae. The record is from RNAcentral.